UACGGAGGGGGCUAGCGUUGUUCGGAAUUACUGGGCGUAAAGCGCACGUAGGCGGCUUUGUAAGUUAGAGGUGAAAGCCCGGGGCUCAACUCCGGAAUUGCCUUUAAGACUGCAUCGCUAGAAUUGUGGAGAGGUAAGUGGAAUUCCGAGUGUAGAGGUGAAAUUCGUAGAUAUUCGGAAGAACACCAGUGGCGAAGGCGGCUUACUGGACAGAUAUUGACGCUGAGGUGCGAAAGCGUGGGGAGCAAACAGG
RNAcentral lists this ribosomal RNA (253 nucleotides) under uncultured bacterium. RNAcentral's name for it is "partial 16S ribosomal RNA". It matches the Rfam family "Bacterial small subunit ribosomal RNA", at positions 524 to 776 of the family's 1533-position model. The record is from RNAcentral.